RNAcentral lists this long non-coding RNA (43347 nucleotides) under Physcomitrium patens. RNAcentral's name for it is "long non-coding RNA (PPAT_LNC000093)". Lineage: Eukaryota; Viridiplantae; Streptophyta; Bryopsida; Funariales; Funariaceae. The record is from RNAcentral.
ACCCGCACUUUGUGAGGGUUGCAUUACAGACCUUCAAGUUUGCUUUGCGAAUCUCCGAGACGUCAACUUCGCCAUGCAAGGGCGACAGCGGGUACCGCGGCAUUGACGGAUACCGAGUUGAAGACGACAAACUGCGCUCCAGCAAAACAUCCUCCUUCUUCUUCUUUCUCCUCUCGCUCUCCGUCGCCGACCCCGUUCGAGGUGCAAGCACAACUUUCAUCAGCGACUGCAUCGCUCCACAACCACCUCAAUCCAGCUCUCACGCUCUUCAACUCUCUUCUGCUCCCUCUCUCUCUCCCUCUUUUACGAGCCUCUCAAGAAAUCCUCUACAACCUCUUCUACCUGCAAUCACGACCGUCCCCGCUCCGAAGCUUACCGCAAUUCUCACGCCUGCGCUCUCAAUUCCCGCCCACGCUAAUCCCAACGACACAAGGUCCUAUUCAAACAAGCGGCUGAUGCGACACCAGGUCCUCCCCACGUCACGUUCCCCGUCAUGCAACUCAGACAGCAGCGCGAAUAGGCGCAACACGAACCGUAUCCAAUUUCAAUCCCUACGCUGACUCUACUCCACCACUCUCUCCCACCCCUCCUAAUAUACCUCACGAAAUCGCUGCGCCGUCACCACGGAACGAAUUCCUUGUGUCGCACUUUCAUGGUGGAUCCCAGGAUCUCGAAUAAGUUCUCGAGGUCUCGAGAGCUGCAGGACCCUUGCGUUGUUCAUGAAGGUGGGCCCCACUGUCAAUGCCGUGCUCGGCAGGCUUGUCUAUUAACAGCUGUCCAAUGAAACAAAGCGAACGAUCCCCCAACACCCAAGCAAAAUAUACUCGACCAGAAGCUUCAUGCCCAGUUUCGACCCCAACCCACUCACGGCAUCAGGGCAUGUCCAGAUAGACGUCGGAGGGGUCGGGACAGGAGGCCGCGAAAGCAUCGCAGACGGCUCACGUUCACUGAUGUCUCGCGGAUGUCGCCAUUCACGAUUUCCAAUGGUUCAUGAACACACUCAUCUACUGCAGUGCCGCAUUGCGAUGCCGUUGCGAACACAGUUGCGAACGCAGAUGCGGAGCAACCCGAUGACGAACACUUCUGUCCGGGUAUCUGCGUCUUGCGGACGAAUCCUGGUCGUUGUCAAGGAGUAGCUCCACCGCUUGGCCUUCAAUCUCCUCAGCAGUGCUCAAUUUCAGUGUUGCUGUCACACCGACAUCUCUGUGUUGUAUCCAUUGAGCGCAUGCACGCCGGCUGAUGGUGAUGGGGCUCCUUUGCUGUGCGUAAGGUAGACAACCCAUUUCAGAUAACUUAAGCAUUUCAGCAUAUAUGCAGUAGGUGCAUAAAUGGAAAAAAAAAAAAAACCAAAACAAAACAAAACAAAAAAAAAAAAAAACAAAACAAAACAAAACAAAAAAAAAAAAAAACGGGAAAGAUCCGGCAAGCUCCUCCUCACUGGCGCUUGGAUUACUGCGAGGAUGUGUAAUACCACAUAUCUGGCCUGCGAGCGAUUGCGAGGUCCAAUGCUCAAUACCCUGGCACAUUGUGUUAGGAUUUGAUAAAUUUAUAUACAAUAAUUUAAGCAAGUAAGAUAUCAAUUGAGGAUAGGACUUUUUUAGGAUUAGGGUUUUAGUUGAGCCUAGCAAUGGAGGUUGCACUAAAGUGAGUCAUAGUGCCUAUAGUACCAUUUGUAGUGGGAUUGUAAUAGUGUGAGGAGACAACAUGACGAUAACCACGACCUAUGCUGUGAUACUAAAAAGCAAGUUGACACAUGCAUCCCUGUCUCUUACAACAUUGAAGGUGUAGUACAAGAAGAAUAGAUCUAAGAAAGAAUAAUUGGAAUUUGAAUUGGUUGCUACUAUUGCACAAAUGGAGCGGCUCAUAGAUAUCCAUCCCAUGCGAGCAUCACCAACUAAGAUCCUUUCUAAAAGAUUUUUUUGUAGCAAAAAAGAUUUCAUACUAACAAAAUGUGUUGUUUGGGUGAUAUUAAACGAGGCCAAAGUACCAAAAGAAAUGGAUUAUUUUUAAAAGAAAGUCAUAAUAGCAUAUAUUGUGGAAGACAAUCAAUUACCAAAAAUCAUAUAAGACUAUGUGACAAGUAUCUCAAAAGAACUUGGAAAAGAAUUGAAUUUAAGUCGCAAAUUAGAUCAUGGCUUCUUCUAGGUCAUAGGAAAGGAUGUGUCAAGGACAUGAAUCUCAAAGAAAGAAAACUCAAUACACUCUUGUAUCACUCAAAAAGAUUAAAAAAUCACUCAAAGAUAGUAAUAUAUUGAACUAGAAUGGCUAUUGCUAAAGACAAGAAUAUUAAAAAGUCUUAAAACAAGACUAAGGACUAUAAAAGCAAUGACAACAAUGAAGAAGGCUUUACUCUUGCUUCUAUAUUUACUAUCUAACAAGGAGCUAUAUGACAAUGUUCUAUAGGAUCUCCAAUACGUGUUCAUUUUAUAAAGCAUAUGUUUUAAUUUGCAAGACAAGUUUCUUAUAUAUGCACCAUAUUGUUGCCAUAUUGUAACACAACUAUAUGGUAAAAAUAUAAUCAAAAAUAAAAUUUUAAUUAAUAUUUAAUCAUCUUAGUUCAAUAGUAAUUCAAGACAUUUAAGCAUGGCUUUUAUAAAAAUCUCUUAGUUUAUUUUCUUAUCUUAAUAGCUAGUAGAUUCAAGGUUGGUUAAUAAUUUUACCUUCUAAACUAUUAAAUUUCUUUUAUUGGCUUAGAAAGGCCAUAAAUUGAUAAAAAAAAAAAAUAGUAAAAAAAGAUAAAUAAUUAAUAUAAUUGAUACUAGACUUAAGUUGAAGAUAAGAUCAAACUAAAAAAUCCCUAGGAUAGAUUGGAUUGAUAUCCGAGGAUUAACCAUUUGUGGAACAUACUUGAAAUCAAACCUCCAGUCACUAAAAUGGCUGCCUAGAGCAAAAUAGGGAUUCAUUUGAAGAUCGGCAAUUGGAGUUUGUAAGCUAGCUUCAAGCUUAUUCCAAAGUUCUAAGUCUUGUUUUCUUAGGAUUUGGAAUGAAUUUUUAAUUGUUGUUCAAAAUCAAGAUUUGUAUCAAUAAUUUGGAAUUUAUGCAAUAUAAUCAGGGCUAGCACUCUUCACUACUUCAUGCAAUUGAUGUCACUGCUCAACAUUGUCCAAAGAAGCGAUACAAUUACAAAAUGAGGAAUACUACCAUCAAAGAAAAUAGUAUGUCAAAAAAUAAGUUUGUCUAGCUACAAUAGGGACAGUGUAGCUAGAACCUUAUACAAUAUCUAAUGAAGGUCUUAUUCUCUCCUCAGAACCUUCUCUUUAUUUUACAAUAAAUGUUAUUUUAGGACCUUAACAUCACAAAGCCUCUACCUUAUUAGAUUCAAGAGCCUCAGCUUGUUUCUUAGAUGAAGAAUUUGCUAAAAGAUAUAGCAUAUCUUUAAUGAAGAAAACUAAACAUAUUCAUAUAGAAGUCAUAGAUGGUCGUCCAUUGUCUUCAAAAAAAUUUAUUCAUGAAACUCUUCCUAUAGAAGCAAUAAAUAAUAAUUAUAGUAGCUUUGUAAUAUUUAAUAUGAUUAAAUCUUCUUCUAAUUGAAUAAUUUUAGAUUUAUCAUUGCUAAAAAAAUAUAAUCCAAAAAUAGAUUGAAUUUCUUGUAGUCUUGAUUUAUUUGAAAGUAUAACUAAGAAUAUAAUUGAUCAAGUAGAAAGACAUAAGUCUACUAUAAUUAAAUCUAUAUUUGUAGGUGCAAAAGCUUUCUUGCAUGUUAGAAAAAAAAGAUUAUCUUAUGUCAUUCAUAUUGUAUCCAUUUCAAAUAGUAGAAAGACUUCAAGCGACAUUCUAAGCCAAUAUCAAGAUUUUCAAGAUGUAUUUGAGAGAAAGAGUGCUGAUACUCUACCAAAAUAUUAUCCCUAUGAUUAUUCAAUUGACCUUUAAGAAGGAACUCAAGUGCCAUUUGGACCAAUUUAUAAUUUAUCAUAAAAUAAAUUGGCUAAAUUCAAAAAGUAUAUUGAAGAAAAUCUAGCCAAGAACUUUAUAUGCCAUUCCAAAUUUUCGACAAGAGUUCUAAUUUUAUUUGUAAAGAAAAAAGAUGGAUCAUUGCAAAUAUGUAUCGAUUAUCAAGGACUCAAUAAAAUCACCAUCAAGAAUAGAUAUCUACUACCUUUGAUAUCAAGACUUCUUGAUUAAUUAUAUCAAUCUAAGAUCUAUACAAAAAUAGAUCUAUAAGGGGCAUACAAUUUGGUAUGCAUCAAAAAAGGAGAUGAAUAGAAGACUACAUUUUGAACAAUGUAUAAACAUUUUGAAUAUAAUGACAUGCCUUUUGGACUUAUAAAUGCACCAAUAGCUUUUGAAUAUCUAAUGAAUGAUGUUUUUUGAGAGUUUUUAGAUGACUUUGUUGUUUGUAACCUAGAUGAUGUCUCAAUCUAUUCUAAUAAUAUAUAAGAAUAUGAAUUUUAUGUUUGUUGUGUAUUACAAAAACUAAGAAAUACAGGACUUUAUGCCAAGAUAGAAAAGUGUAUAUUCUACACUACUCAAGUCGACUUCUUAGAAUACAUCAUUUCAAAUGAUGGAUCCUAAAAAAUUUCAAACUAUUAUAGUUUGGAAGAUUUCAAAAAUGGUAAGAAAUGUCCAAUGUUUUGUGGAAUUUGCCAACUACUACCAGAUCUUCAUCAAGAACUUCUCUCAAGUUGCAACUCCACUUAUCCAUUUGACUUAUAAAAACAAACUUUAAUGAAAUCAAGAAGUAAAAGUAAUAUUUAAAGCUUUGAAUAAAACCUCUAUUUUUACACCAAUCUUAUAUUACAUUGACUCUUGUAAGUUAUUUUGUUUCAAAAUAGAUGCAUCAAACUUUACUUUGGAUGCCAUAUUAUUAUAUAUAGAAAUAGAUAAUAAACUUCAUCUAAUAGCUUUUCAUUCAAGAAAAUUUCUAAUAGCCCAGAUCAGCUAUAAGAUUUGUGUCAAAGAACUUCUUGCAAUUAUAAUUUUUUUUUAAGAAUGAUGCAAUUUUCUAAAAGGUGCUUCUAAUCCAAUAUUUAUUUAUUCCAACCAUAAGAAUCUUAAAUAUUUUAUAUAAGAACCUAUUUUGAUUCAUGGCCAAGUCAAUUGGAGUAUGUCUUUAUCAAGAUUUGAUUUUAAGAUUACUUAUCGACCCAAAAAAUACUAAAGUUUGUCAGACACCUUUUUUAGAUAUUUUUGUCUUGUAUCAUAAGAAGAAAAUACAUCUUUUCAUCAACAAAGCAUGAUUCUCUUGAUGUUGGAGCAUUUUCAUCUUCAAGCAAUAAAAUCAAUAUUGACUAUUGAUUCAACUCUUGUCAAGUAGUUUUGAUCAAGUAUAUCCUCUGAUCCUUUCAUUUAUGAUACCAAGAAUCUUUCUUCUAAGUCUUAUGAUGCUUCCAAGUUCAAGUUCAAAAAAAACCUACUCUAUUUUAAAAGACACUUAUACAUUCUAGAAGGAAAAGCAUGUUUAUGUAUUUUUUAAAUAUGUCAUAACUUUCCAACGGCUUGACAUUUUGGAUACAACAAGACUUUAAAACUUAUAUCUAGAGAUUUUUAGUAGUCACAAGUAUGAAAGGGAGUGAAAGACUUUGUUUAGUUAUGUAACAUUUUUUCAAGGUCAAAAACUCUUUAUUAUUGACUUUAUUGACUUUUCCAAUUGUUACCUAUUCAAGAACAACCAUGGUCUUUUGUUUCUAUGGAUUUUAUCAAGGAUCUUUGAGUCUCAAAUUCUUAUGACUCUAUAUUUAUGAUAAUAGAUCAUUUCACCAAGAUGGCACAUUUUGUACCAUGUACAAAAGCUAUUAUAUAUAAAAAAGUAGUCAAGCUUUUUCUUGAUAAUAUCUAUCGAUAUUAUGGAUUACUUAAGUUAAUUUAGUUUGUAUCAAGAUUUUAAAAAAAUCUUUUCAAGAUUCUAAAAGUAGACAUAAAACUAUAUUUGGCUUUCUAUUCUCAAAUUAAUGGACAAAUAGAGUGUAUAAAUCAAGCUUUAGAAUACUAUUUAAGGUGCACCAUCAAUUACCAAUAAGAUGAUUAGACAACUCUUUUGCUAUUGACAAAGUUUGUUUAUAAUAACAUAGUAUAUUUUUCUAUAUAAUAAAUAUAUAUAUAUAUAAUUUUUUGCUAAUUAUGGUUAUUAUCCACAACUUAAUGGUUUUAAUUUUUGAAAAGUUGAUAAUCAUGUGGUGGAAGAUUUGGCAAAAUAUUUAUUUGAAUUACAUACAAUAAUGAAGGGACGUCUAAAAGAUGCUAAAAAACAAUAAAAGAGCAAUGUGGAUGCUUAUCAUAAGGAACAACCUCAUUUCUACAUUGGUGAUAAGGUAUGGUUAUUUUGUCAUAUUAUUAAAAUUAUUUGUUCUUAUGACAAGUUGAAUUAUCAUAGAUUUGGACGAUUUCCUAUUUGUGAACAAGUCAAUUCAGUUGCUUAUCAAUUAUAUCUAUCAUAGUCUAUGAAAAUCUAUUCCAUAUUUCACAUGUUUUUUUAAAAGCCAUAUAAAACAAUCAAUAUCCUAGAAAGAAGACAAAUACCAUCGUUGUCGUACUGUAAAUGCUUACAAUAUGUAAAAAUUAAUUAAAAUAUAUUAUAUGUUAAUAAAUCUAGAUGUGUGUUCGAGUGGCUAAUAGAUUAAAUUAAAAGGAGUUGGUAUAAGAAACUUUACUUUGUUUCUUUACUUGUUUUGAUUUUGACAUUAAAAAUAAAAAAAUAUAGGACCUAAAUGUUUAGUAUGAAGCCUUGGGAGAAGGUGGAAGCUUGAGGAUGAAAAUCUAAACUAGAAGGAUGCUAAUUGGAGGAAUGAAAGCAAGUCAUGGUGAGAUGAAGGCAAGGAAUGUGAAGGAGUUAUAAGGAGUUGAAGGCGGCGCUUUCAAAUCAAAGGUAGUAAGUAAGCGAUUUUGUUUGUAGUAAUGGUUGGAGCCAUAACUUGAGUAUUCGAACGAAUUUUUGACUCAAACUUUUUGGAGAAUGUACAUUUUUGUGUUAAAAAGCUAUACAUAUAAAUUUCGUAGCAUUUGAGCUUAUAUUUUGUGAGAUAUGAAGAAAAUUGCAUGCGGGUAUAUAAAGACAAAGAUUUGAAGCGGCUGUUAGGGUUUUCAAGAUAUCUCAAGAUCCGCAAUGAAUUUAAAAUUAAAAGUUUUUAUAAAAGUUAAUAAGAAUACAUCAGUACCUCAUGUAAAAUUUGAGUUUGUUUGGACGGUCGUAUUAGGAGAUAUGAGGUGUUGAAGUUCGGAAAAAUCUCCACAUAAGAAUAUACAAGGUUUUAGAGGAUUUUAUCAUAUUUUGGAUGUUGUUGGUUACUUGAGGCUUGUGUAUUUGGUAUAAUUGCUCAAAAGAGAAAAUUUAUAUAUAAACUUAGGGCUUCCUUUAUUUUGAAGCUUGAUUGAAUGAUUAGUGACAGCCAGAAGUCUAACAUUUUCUUAAGGCAAAUUCUCUCUACCCCGACACUGCCUUCUAUAGAAGUGGGUAGUAAUCAAAAAUUUGAGGUGGAAGAAGUUUUAGACUGAAGGUGGCACCGACAUAGGUUGGAAUAUCUUAUUCAUUGGCUCAGAUACAAUAUUAGUAAAUAGACAUGGGAGCCAAUAAAAAAUCCUACAAAUGUAGUAGAGAAGGUCAAAGCUUUUUAUCAAUGACAUCCAUCAAAAUUAAGAUAAGAGUUAGUAAACCUUUACUAUAAAAGAAUUACAAUUUAUGAAAGAUUACAUUCUACCUCCUAUCCUUGUUUGUAAUUUCUAUAUAAUUGUGGUGUUAAGGAUAUGGAGAAUCAAUAGCCAACGAAUUUAACUCAAGAGCCAUCAUUUACUAACUUAUUAGAUGAGAUAUUGCAACUAUCAAAGCCUUUAAGACAAAAUAAUAAGGGUGAAGACUUUCAAGAAUGACAUGUUUUUUUUCAAAUAGAUGGCAAGAUACAAUGUGUUUAAUUUCAUGACCUAGGAAGAGUCUUUCAAUGUUUGUUGGUUUUAUUGGAGGUAGAAACAACUCUUGAUGGUAUAACAAAUAUUUUAUUUGAAAAAUUUUUUGAAAGUUUUAACAAUGAUUAAAUAAUAGGGUGGUCUUUUUGCAUUGAAAUAGGACAUUACCGAUAGCCAAGAGAACCUAUCAACUACCUUCAAAGAAAACAAAUAUUAAAAAAUAUGAUAAAUAUAUUUUGCCGCAUCUUAGACUUCUUCAAUAUGUAAUUACUCUUUUUUGUAGAACUUAUCUUUAGAAGGGGGAGUAAUGUCAUAGAUAUAUAUCUACUAUAAUUAUUAUUUAGAUAAUAUGAAUAAAUAGAAGUAGAUAAAAAUAGAUUAAUUUUAUAAUAUCUUCUAAAAUAACUUUUUAAAAGCUUUUUAGAUAUUAUUUUGACUUUAUAUGUAUUUAUAGAUGUGUCACGAAUUUAGAAUACUGAUUGGAAAUAAGAAGCUCAAGAAGAAUUGGCAAGAAUUAGAUUAAUGAGAUGAAUACAAGAACAACACUAGAGAGGUGAGCUAGAGCUCGAAGAGGUGUAUUGUCGAGAGUGAGGAUCUCCUCAGUUCUAGCUCCUAUAUAUACUACCAACUAGGAAGCUUCUCAAGUAGCUUCCACAAACUAAGAAGCUUUUCAAGCAGCUUCUACGAGUUAGGAAGCUUCUCAAGCAGCUUCUACAAUCUAUGAAACUUCUCAAGGAGCUUCCAUGAGCUAGGAGGCUUCUCAAGCAGCUUCCACUAACUAUAAAGAUUUUCUAGAAUCUUCUAAAAUCUUCUACAACUUCCUAGUGUAUGUCCUUAACAUCACUCCUCCCUUUAGCUUCGAGGUCUUUGAGAAGCACUCCUAUUGCGAGUUAGUACCAACGUAAGAAGUUGAAAAUUUAUCGCAUAGUAUCUGUAAUAUACUCCAAUUGUUGUUUGAGCGACAAAUAGUUCAUUGAUCCUUGUAACCAACGAUAGUGUCCUACGCCUUUGAUUUUUGACCAGGCAUGAACUUCCGUGUCUUCAUUGUAAAAAUGCCUUACAAAUAUUCCUUUGGAAAGAUCAUCCUAGGUAGGAUCUACCUCAAACACAAUCAUUAGCGACUUGUUACUAUGUAUCUUUUGUCGUCUUUGUAGUACAGAUAAUUCUUCAUCUCGGGGUCAUUUUUGUGAGAUAUUCGGUUGACAAGACAUAACUGGUAUGGUAUCUAUCUCUUAUCUAUUCAUAUCACACCAAAAAAUAUAAGCACUAAACAUAGAAGAAUGGGCUCAGGUUACAGAUUUAUAGUCUCUAACUAUGUCUUUUAGAGGUUCCUUCUCUCCUUUCUUUGUUAGGCCGAGGAUUAAGAGGAUUCAAGGAGAAGGAACUUCACUGUAAAACUUUCAUCGAAAGGGCUUAGGUUUCUGAGGAUAGUGCGAGUGAAACUCCUGUAUCUUUUGCUAGGCAUUGAUAAGAUUUUUUGUUGGUUCCCAUGUGUGCUCAUUGAUAUCAUAGCCGCUCUAAUGCACUAUGUACUCCAAUUUUUCUACUUACGUCGUAAAUCUAGUACCUUUUUUACCUCGUAUUCUUCGUGGUUCUCAAUUUUAAUACUAGGUGGCGGACAUUGUACUCUUUCAGAAUAAUCUGACUCUCGAUAAGGUUCCAACAAAGAAACAUGAAAGAGUAAGUGUACCUUCAUAGCAGCUGGUAAUCCCAAAUGAUAUGCCACUGGAUUGAUUUACUUCUUGAUGACAAAUGGUCCCAAUCUCCGGUAGUCCAAUUUAUGACAUGGUUGCUUGGUUUUGAUAUUCAGUUGAAGCAGCCAUACUUUAUCUCCAAUUUUGAAAGAAGGUGCCUGAUUCUGAAAUUUGACUAUGGACGCCUUGUAAGCUUCUUGGGCGGUUUGCAAUUAAAGCUUCAAUAUAGUUUGAAGCUCCGAUAGUUGUUUUGCAAAUCCUUUAGUUGCCAGAUUGUUAUUGGUUGAUGGUUUCAACAAAUCAAGCUUCGAAUGAUAUCCAUAGUUGAAAAAGAAUGGUGUUUGUUGAGUCGACGCAUGAAGGGUGUUGUUGUAUGAAAACUCAGCUAAUGAUAGAUAUGCAGUCCAAUCAUCUUGCUGAUAGUUGAUGCUGCAUCGUAAAUAUUGCUCCAAAGUUUGAUUCAACCAUUUCAUUUGGCCGUCAGUUUGAGGAUGAAAAGCCAAAGAAAGCUUGAUAUCUACCUUCAAUAUCUCAAAGAGGGAUCUCCACAACUUUGAUACGAAUUAGAUUCCUCAAUCCGACACGAUAUCAUCUAGUAAACCAUAAUAUUGAUAUACACUAUCAAGAAAGAGCCUUGAGGUAUCUUUGCUUAUCGAUGUUUUCUUGCAAGGAACAAAGUGUGCCAUCUUUGUAAGCCGAUCUACCACAACAAGGAUGCUCUCAAAUGAAUUCGAUGGCAGCAAGUUUAUAAUGAAGUCCAUGGAAACUGAAGAUCAUGGUCGAUGUGGAAUAGGCAAUGGCUAAAAAAGACCAUAAGGAGGAUGCCGAGGGUUCUUGGAUCUUAAACAAAUGUCACAAGAGAGGACAAAAUCCUUGACAUCCUUCUACAUUUGGGGCCACCAAAAAUCUCGAGAAAUAAGUUUCAAGGUCUUAUUGAAUCCAAAAUGUCCUACAGCAGGAAAGUCGUAUCGAGAUUAGAGAACUUGGAAUCGUGUUGGUCUCUUUGGAAUAUACAACCGCUCCUCAAAGUGUAAAAGAUCUCCUUCUAUCUUGAACUUGUCAUUAUUUACACGUUGCAUGAUAUUGAAGGCUACAGAAUCUCCAAUAGUCACAAUACGUACUUGGUUGAGGAAGUCAACAUCAAUUGGCAUUAUAGUAGAGCAAAGCUUGAAUCGUUCUGACUUCAACAAUGUUGUAUACUAUUGAUCAAACGCUGCCUCUUUAGCCUUUGGCGCUAGAUACGAUCUCCUUGAUAAUACAUUGGAUAGUCUUUGUUGCUUCCUAAGCCAAUAAGUAAUAAUAAAAUCAAAUUUGGAUAGCAGUAUAUUCCAUCAAGCUUAACAACGAUUCAAAACCUGAGCUGACAUGAAAUACUCCAAAUUCUUGUGAUCCGUGUAUACGGUCACCGGAUGUGCAGCUCCUUCGAGAAAGUGACGCCAUUCUUGGAAAGAAUCUACUAUCGCAAGAAGUUCUUUAUCAUGGAUUUCAUUGUUGAUCUCAACAGCACAAAACUUUCAAAAGUAGAACGCAACUAGAUGAAGCUUCUCGUCUAUGCCUAUCUGUGAAAGUAUAACUCUUAUAGCAAACUCUGAAGCAUCGAUCUCCAAAUAGAAGGCCUUUACAAAGUUCGGAUGUAUCAAGAUUGGAGCCAUAGUAAAUGCCAUCUUAAGAUCUUAAAAUACUUUUUUCGCUAGAAAUCUUUAUUCAAGCUUGUCUUUACAUGUCAAUCAAGUGAACGGAGCAGAAAUUUGAGAGCAAUUCUUGAUGAAGAUCCGAUAGAAGUUAGCAAAGCUAAGAAAGCAUUGUACAUCUCUAAUCGUUUUUGGGACUUCCCAUGAUACAAUUGCUUCCACCUUCUUAGGGUCCAUCUUCAAACCUUCCGUAGUUGCAAUGAAUCCCAAAAAUUCCAUCUCAGUUUGGUUAAACAAGCACUUCUCCAAUUUGGCGUAAAAUCCUUGCUUGCAAAGUUUUUCAAGGACCAGAUAAAUGUAUUUUUCAUGCUCUUCUAAUUUUUUGGAAAAUAUCAAAGUAUCAUCUAGAUAGAUGACAACAAAAUCAUCAAGGUGCUCCCGAAAGAUAUCAUUCAUCAUAUGUUGAAAGAUCACCGGAGCAUUGAUAAGACUGAAAGGCAUGACAUUAUAUUCAAAAUGGCCAUACCUUGUACAGAAAGCUGUCUUCCAUUCGUCUCCUUCCUUGAUUCGUACAAGGUUGUAAGCUCCUCUUAGAUCAAUCUUUAUAAAGAUCUUUGCAUGCCCAAGUUGCUCUAGAAGACUGGAUAUCAAGGUUAAUGGAUAAUGAUUCUUCUUUGUCACCUUGUUGAAACCUCAAUAAUCCACACACAUUCAUGGCGAGCCAUCUUUCUUCUUCACAAAUAAGUUUGGUGCCCCAACUAGUGACUUUGAAUGACAAAAGAAGUUCUUGGCUAGAUUCUUAUCAAUAUACUUUCACAACUCCGCUAACACCAUCUCCGAAAAAUUGUAGAUUGGGCCAAAAAGUGAUUGUGCUUCUUCUUGUAAGUCUAUGACACAAUCAUAUUAUGGAUGCUCCGGUAGCAUGUUGACAUUCUUCUUUUGAAACACGUCUUUAAAAUCCAUAUAUUGCUCCAAAAUACUUGUUGUCAAAAUCUUCUCUCCGCUAGUUGGAGUCGCAUAAAUGACAAACGGUGUACCUUCUUGGGACGAUGUUAGAAAUGUUCUUGCUCCAAUAAAUAAAGAUUUUUGAUUCGAGAUCUUCUAACAGGCUUACUCUCAGGAUGUUUUAUAGAAAAUGUCAUCUUUUGUAACAUCCAAUCUACGGAUGGAUUAUGCAUUUCUAACCAAGAAAGACCAAGAAUAACAGGGUUUGAUGGGAUUCUAAUAAUAUUGAAAAUAAUAUAAUUACUAUGGUCUUUAAACGUCACCUCUAUAGGUUCUGAUUCAUGGAUGAUACUACUAGAUAAUAAAAGUCAUUCAUCUAUUACUUCUAUGUGAACGGAUUUACAUUUUUAUACUAGAAGUAUCUCAUGAUGCUUAGUAAAUUCUUCAUCUAAAUAAUAAGGAGAUGCUCUUGAAUCUAAUAACGCUAAGGUUUUUAGUUUUUGAGGGCCAAAAGAUAGAGGAAUGGUAAAGCAAUGAGUACGCUGAGCAAAAAGAAAGGAACUUCAUUGUUGUUGUGGUAAUGAAUUGUCCAGCCGCACGGUCCCUAUUAUGACUGGGCAUCCUCAUUUUUCUGAACAAAUACACCUCUGGUCAAGUUGAGCCUUCUUUUUCUUCUAAAGUGGUUUAUUGCUAAAGAUCAAGUAAGGCCUUAAUCUUCACCAUCUUCUAUUUAACCUCAAUUUCAUCAAAGUGUAACCUUGAUGAACCGAUAGGCCUCAAAUGUCAAAGACAAAUCCUGCUACUUUGGUAAUUGAAUCAAUAGGAAGGCUCACUAGAUCAAGAGUAAGUUUACAACAAGAAAUCAAGACUUAAUGGAAUCAGAACAAGGACUUGGAGUAGAUUCAUCGAGAAUGGCAAAUGGAGAAGUGCAGCCUCAUAUAUCUACUCAACGACCUAUGCCAAAUUUUAUACAAUAAGCUGAACCAUCACAUAUAUCUAUAAUUCUACUUGUGGAUGUGGUAAAUAACUCGAGGCAAGCUCUAGCUUCUCUACCAACAGUAUCGACUAUUAUACUAUCUCGACCUUCUCAACUAAGGAUGCUACCAUGAGGAAUACCUAUAGUAGUGCCUCGAGGACUUCUUGAGAGGACAAUGCCUCUUAAUUUUUCACAAUUCAUAGGCUCUAGACAUGAAGAUCCUAUAGCCCUUGUUGAAAGAUUUUUGGAAUUAAUGACCUCUUAUAUGGUGUCUAACGAUGGUUAUUAUUUGAUUUGGUUUUCUACCAUAUUAGUAGAAGGUCCAUAUGCAUGGUAUAUGUCCUACAAUGCACAAACAUUCAAGACAUGGGAUGAAUUAUUAAUGGCAUUUUUAGAUCGAUUCCAACCUUCAACGGGACAACAACAAGUAGUUGCUGCUUUAACAAGUAUGUGCCAACAUCCCAUAGAGGAAAUUUUGGCAUAUAUAAGGCGUUUUAAAGAAGUUUGUAGUAGCUUUGUUAGUGAUUUGCUCCAUGAUACUACUAUUAGAGAUUACUUUCUUAAAGGACUAAAUCGGUCCUUAGAAUCUUGAGAAAUUUGGACGCAUAGGCCACAAAUAUUAGAUCAUACAAUCGGUGUUGCUCUAUUCAUUGAAGAGACUGAACAAGAAAAUAAAAGAGCUAGGGGUCGAAGAAAAGAUCUAAUCCCUAGCUACCUUCCAAUAAGAUAUGACCCUCAUGCAAGCUAUGCACAAAAUCCUAUGAAAGAUUCAAGAUAUGGUCAAUAUGCAUAUCCAUAGGUACCACAGCUUAAUUUUGUGCAACCUUUGGCUUCAAAAGAACCUCCUCUUUUAGCACCUACUACUUAUAAUCUUGUAGUAACUUUGGAGAGAUUAGAUAUUGACAAGGCUGGAAAAGCACGAGAAGAUAGAAUGCUUAAGGCCAUAGAAACUUUAGAAGAAUAGAUUUCAUGCUUGAUGAAGGAUGGAAGAAGGCCUCUAUCAUUUCAAUAUGAAUCAGGAGCUCAUACAACAUUAUUAUGGUAUCCAAGUUGUAGACAACAAGGUCAUUCAAUGCAAAAUUGUCCCUAUGCUCGACAAUUUCAAGAUGUAAGGUAAGCUAGUCAAUUACUACCACCUUAUAGGCCUCUACAUCUUCACCAAGGCAAAGAGGCUUCUCAACUACAAAAACAAAGAUAUCCACUAUGUAGAACAUGUGAAAAAUUCCAUAUUCUUGAUACAUGGUAGAUAGAAAAUAGAAUUAAGUAUUCUACUUAUAGAGGAAUUCAUCUAUUAGACCGAUACACAUGACUUAAUAAAGUCAUUCCAUUGCAACCACCAACGGGAGAUUAUGUAAGACAAGCGGUAGAAAAUUUGUAGGGUAUAAGGUAAUUGGGGCCUGAAUUACAACCAAAAAGACCACCUAAUCUAUAUUAUGAUAGAAAGAGUGAUAAACAAACACAUCAUCUACCAAUGGCUAUGCAAACUUUACUAGGUGUGGUUCCUUUAUCACAUAGACAAAACUCUCAAGAUAAUUGUUGUAUGGAGCCUCAAAAAUUACCAAUACAAGGUAUCAAUUUGAUAUCUGCAAUACCAAUUGAGAACUUAUUAUCCAAGUUGCACUUACCAACUUUGGUGGUUAUACGAGGAGGUGCUAGAACUACUCCCUUAGGACCGAGGGAAGAAGAAGUGGAAGACGUGAAAUCCACAUCUUCAUCAGAAGAAUCACUUCAGUUCCAAGAAUUGAAUAAGACCGCUAAAGAAACAACAAAAGAGGUGCAAUUUGAAGAUACAUAUUAGAUGGAGCUAUCUGAUCAUGAUGAAUUUCAAUUUGUAAAUGACAAUGAUUUCAAAGCAUCCUUCUUAUCAAAGACUAAAGGUAAGAAAUCCAAGGUGAACAAUCCAGCAGACCUUUAUGAUUUGUGGAAAGACCUAGCCUGUGUAAAGGUAAAUAUAUCUUUUGGAUAAUUCAUCUAACUAAUGCCUUUAUUACAAAAACAAUUAAAAGAAGUUGCUACAAUACCAAGGCAAUCUAAGAAGUUUGGAGAAUCUCGAAGGAUUGAAGAAAAAGAGUUGAAUUGGCUUAAUUCAAAAGAAAAUUAUAAUACAGUUGAAAUAGAAGUGGAGAUUGCAGAUAAAUUCAUAUCAAGUACUAUUGUAGAUGAUGGUAGUAACGUCAAUAUUAUGCUCCUAUCCACAAUGUUGAAUUUGAGACUCCAAGUCACACACCGUUCUAUUUUCAAUUUGAAGACCGCAGACUAAGGAAGUUGCAAGCCACUGGGUAUGAUUAAAAACUUAAGGGUAUGAUUAAGAACUUAAGAAUUAGGACCGGUGGAGUUGAUUAUAUCUUCAAUUUUGAAGUAGUGAAGAUGAAAGAAGAAGAAGGCAGUUAUCUACUAUUAUUAGGCUAGAGGUUUUUGAUAAAAUAUAGAGGCAUUGUAAAUUAGUUAUCAAAAAGACCAUACUUUAUUUACGGAAGUCAAGAAAAUAGAACAACCAUAUUAAUUAAGCCUGUAUUCUUCAUAAAGAGAGGUGAAGAAAUGGUAGUAAGACAAAAAGGCUCUGGAUCUUUGUUGGUAGGAUCUUCCACAGACCUAGGAUCUAUUAAGUGCAUUGGACCGGAUUUAUAUGAUUAUGAAGAUGAUGGAAGUUUUGCACAAUAGUUGGCAGAGAAUCCCUAUUUGGAAGAGGAACAAUCAGUACACUUUUUAGAAGCAAUACCAAUCAUAGAAGAGUCCUCAGAUUCUUUUUGUUGGAAUAUGGCUACGUUGGUUGAGGAGGUGGAAGAAAAAGAAGCCCUCCGAUUUGAAAUAGAUGAUACACAAUUAGAAGAGUUUAAAGCUUUAAUGCAAGAUGAAGACAUUCAACUCCCUUUGAACUUCAAAAAGACUUCAAGUGGCAUCCAAGUAGGCCAUACUCUCUCAAUCUAUUCUUCGGUAUCGAAGGAUUGGUACCAUGGAUCUACAAACCAUGUGCAUGUAUGUUCUUCUGAUUGGCAAGAGAUAGAUAUGGCACUAAAGAGAAAAGAGCCCAAAUUAAUUAAGAUUGGCUCUCAUUUAACACAUGAAGAGGUAUGUAGAAUAGAUAUUAAUUCGUUUUUGAAAGAUAUUGAUAAAAUAUAUUAAUAGUCCAUAUAAUAGGAAAUUCAAGAGGACGGAUGAGUGAUUUAAUUCAUAAAAGCAAUUAAUUACAGAAUUACGAUUAGAAUCUGGAGAAUCAAGGGAAAGUAUAUAGGAGUUGUAGAGGUUAAUUAAGGUGCCAGAUUGUAAUAGUCAUGAGCCGAAGGCCAUCGUUGUGAUAGUGUGAGCCGGGGUAAGCUUCGUGCUACCUCUUUUCUUUUGUUUGUUAUUUUCUUUGAAUAAGAGGAUUGAGAGUUUUUGAAUAUUGUGAAGUGAAUUAUGGAAUGGAAAUGUGAUUGGUAUUAUUUGAGAAGAAGAAAGAUUGAAUGCUGAAAUUUGAUUGUAGUUCAGUAGAGAGAAUGAGUAUGUGUUUGUGUGAAACACCAUAAUGUGAAUGGCAGUUCUAUGUGAAGAAUUCCAGUGAUUGGAAUGAAGGUAACUGUGUGUUGAAACCUAUGAGGGCGCAGUAUUACAGUUGGAGAUUAUGAAGGUGAAUAUAUUAGUGGAAAUAGUAGUUAUUGGUAUGACUGAAUUGCUGUAAGGAAGAGACCGAUAAGGUGAAGGAAGAGAUUAUAGUUUCUUUGUGUAAUUAGAUAUUAGAAAUAGAGACGAUACAUUCAAGAGGUAAUUGAUUGUGUGACCCUAAUGUGAACACUAUUGUACUGUAAAUGCUUACAGUAUGUAAAAAUUAGUUAAAACAUAUUAUAUGUUGAUAAAUCUAAAUGUAUGUUAGAGUGGCUAGUAGAUUAAAUUAAAAGGAGUUGGAAUAAGAAACUUUACAUUGUUCUUUAUUUCUUUUGAUUUUGACAUUAAUAUAUAUAUAUAUAUAUAUAUAUAUAUAUAUAGGACCUUAAUGUUUAGUAUGAAACCUUAGGAAAAGGUAGAAACCUAAGGAUGAAAAUCUAAACUAGUAGGAAGCUAAUUGGCAGGGAUGAAAGCAAGGCAUGGUCGCAUGAAGGCAAGGAAUGGGGGACUUCAUUCCUAUUGGUCGAAUACCAUGCCCAAUGGACUUUAAGGAGGCUGCCUGUAAUUUUAAGAAGGAUUUUGGCAACUUUAAAGGAGGCAUUCGGAGAUUAGAAGCUAGGUUUGUAAAUUUUAGGAUUUGAAGAACAAUUUGUGUACAAAAAUUAGAGGAUUUGGACUUAGGAUGAAAAUGUUAAUACUGUUUGAAGUUAAGGUGUUUAUUUAAGACAUACUGUUAUUCUUUUGAAAGUACGAGGAGUUUUACAGUAGCUUUUGAAGAUCGGAAGGUGCGACUGGAACGGCGAUUUCAAGGCCUACAUCUUGCAUAAAAGAAUUAUUACUUUUGGAGUCCAUAUCAAAGAAUUAUAAGGAGUUGAAAGCAACACUUCCAAAUCAAAAGUAGUAAGUAAGCGGGUUUUUUUUGUAGUAAUGGUUGGAGCCAUAACUUGAGUUUUUGAACGAAUUUUUGGCUCAAAAUUUUUAGAAAAUGUAAAACUUUGUGUUAAAAAGCCAUACAUAUAAAUUUCGUAGCAUUUGAGCUUAUAUUUUGUGAGAUAUGAAGAAAAUUGCAUGUGGAUGUAUAAAGACAAGGGUUUGAAGCAAUUGUUAGGGAUUUCAAGAUAUCUCAAGAUCUACAAUGAAUUAGCGGUUGAAAACUGUUGUAAAAAUUAAUAAGAAUACAUCAGUACCUCAUGUAAAAUUUGAAUUUGUUUCGACGGUCGGAUUAAGAGAUAUGAGGUGUUGAAGUUUGAAAAAAUUUCCACAUAAGAAUAAACAAGGAUUUAGAAGAUUUUAUCAUAUUUUGGAAGUUGUGGGUUACUUGAGGAUUGUGUAUCUAGUGUAAUUACUCAAAAAGAGAAAAAUUAUAUAUAAACUUAGGACUUCCCUUAUUUUCAAGCUUGAUUGAAUAAUUAGUGACAGCCAGAAGCCAAACAUUUUUUUGAAGCAAACUCUCUCUACCCCAACAACGCUUAAGCAACUAGUUAUUUUCCAUGUUCGAAUCCUCCUAUACGGGUUUAUUCUGGGAAGUUUCUUCCAAAAUAAGUAAAACAAGCAAUCACAUUUUGGCGCCACUGCCAAGGAGUGAUAAUAGCUUUGAGUGUUAAGAAUUAAUUACCAAAUGUGUGUUAAAAUUGGCAAUGGAAGGCGAUUUCAAUAGUGUUUGAAGCAAGAUUAUGGUUAAUAAGAACGAGAGCAUUGCAUUGAGAAAAAUAAAUCAAUUGAGAAAAAGACAGGGAAGAGCGCAAGGAAGGAAAUUGCUUAGAGAUGAGCAAGAACGUAAUCUUAAAAGGAAGCAUCGAUAGAAUUAGAUUAAACCAUGGUUGCAAGCUUAUCGAUGCAUCCAAACAUAUCAAGAAUUGGACAGACAAGUAAUUCUGCAGUCGUAUGUACCGUUAGAAAAACUGCCAAGAACACUUGUGGGAAAUUUUAUUAACAUUCCAGUGGAAAUCUUGAGGCCGUUAACUGAAAGAGAAAGAGGCGUAGAAGAAUUUGGUACUCUAUUGGAUAUUUUUCUAGUAGAGGGUACUGCUGAAACGAGCAAUAGUGGCUCUUCAGAUUAGCACAAAUUGGUCGCCAAUAAAGAUAACUAUAUUGUAUUUCAAAAUCCGAUGUUUUUACCUGCAGAUCAAUCAAUAAAACUAAUUACGGAAAAUAACAAUAAAUCAAGGAAUAAUAAGAGCUUAGAAAUUAGAAUAAAAAAAAGCAGAGAUUAUUUUAAAAUGGAGUUUAGCGAAACAAGAAAUUCAAUGGUGUUAGGAGGACCAGCCAUUUCGAUUGCAGUACAAAUUGGUGCAAUAGGUGAUCGUACGACUAGUAUCACGCCACUACCUACUGUUCGGAGAUUUUUGGAUGUAAAUCUUGAUCAACAUUUAUCUCAAUUUCUUACAGCAUGUAUAGCUAAUAAUGGCAGAACUGAAGAUAUUUGGUUGCGAUGGCUGCCAGCGACCUUAAAAGACACGAUGUUUGAAUGGUACAACCGCCAACCAGUGGGGCAAUUUUCGAAUUGGGAAGCAUUGAAGAAUACAUUUUUAUCUCAAUUUUGGCCAAUUGGUUUUGAUGACCGCCUUCGAGAGAGGUUAAUGAACAACAAAAUGAUCCUAGGGAGGUGAUGGAAUCGUACUAUGGCCGAGUGGUUGAUAUACUCAGUAAGUGGCCGAAUCACCAAAUGCUAGAGGUAUUUAUCUUACCCAUAUUAAUCAAUAGUUUGCACCCACAAGAGCUAAAAAUGUUUGUAAAGGAAGCUCAAACUGUUAUGGUGGCUGCAUCCCUUAAUAGAGCCAAGGUUUGGGAGGAAUGCCAUUAUGAUCAGUUUUUAAGUCCGGGAGCCACAAUAAUUUUAGUUCAAGGUAGAUAUCAAAAUCUGACUUGGAAUGAAUCAGUGGGUAGUUAUCCAUGGAUGUUAGAAACAUGGGCCAAUUCCAAUACCAAUAUUCAGGGGCUAGUUAACGUCACCCCAUUGCAAGCUAUACCACCGAACGUGACAACAGCAUAUGCUCCAUAUUUUCCGUUGUCGUGUUGUAACACGAGUAUACCGUGAAAAUAUAAAGAAAGGGGACUUUUAUUAAUGUUCAGUUACCUCGAAUAUUAGGAGCAACGACCAACUCCAGUGCAAAUACUGAGUGGCCAGGUUCAGUCACCCCGUUACAUUUAGCCAAGACAUACUGAAAUGCUCCGUUCGAUUCCAAUAACGGGAGUCAGCAGGAAGGGAAAGGACCAAUUCACGCGACGGGUGAGCUUGGUUCGAAGAGCCAAUUGGAUCCAAUUUUGAGAAUCCAAUCCGGGUCUUAAUACUGGGCUCUUAUCCAAUAUGAGAUCUGAAUUGGCCGGGCAACCCAAUGCAGUCUAAUUACGGGAAAAUCUAGGUCUUACUACGAAUCUUAGCCAAUCUGAUGCGAAGACCAAUUGGACCCAAUUACGCAAACAUCCAAAUUACUACUGGCAUCUUAUCCAAUAUGAGACCUGAAUUGGUCGCGCGAUUCAAUGUAGACCCGAGUACGGGGUUUCGAUUCUGUUUCAAGCUGUCCUAUUCUCUGUGCCAUUUCAAGGAACGUUGUUUUCGGUAAAUAGAUCUCUUAAAGGUAAAAAUGGAGGAGAAAGCUUUGAUGGCGAGAGCCAAUUUCGGAUCUAAGCUCUGACGGUGGGAGCCAAUUCCGGAUCCAAGACGAAAGAUUGAAGAAAUUCAGAGGAUAAGGUUAGUAUGAGAAUAAGUUUUGGAGAGGGUUUUUUUUUUCAUAUUAGAGGGGAGGGGGGGGGAUUUUUGGAUCGAAGAGCUAGCUUCAAGUUUUUUUCAAGGUUACUAGUUCGGUUUUUAUUGGAGGUUUUUGAAGAUUAAGGGGAUUGGAGAGGAGCUUCAUGCUUUGGGUCGGGGAAGAAAAGACGGAGAAUUGGAUUUUUCUUCUUCAUAGAGUUUUGGGAAGACUGAGGCAAUCGUUGCUGAAGUCAGUAUUGUAAUGGUGAAUCGAGAUUUUUAAUGAAGUGGGUGGGGUUACUCCUAACUGUUUGUGAAAUCGAGUUACGUCUGUGAUUGAAGGAUUAAAAGGGUGUCUAUAGGAUUGAGUAUGUGGAGUGAAUGAAAUUUAUUGGGUUAAUCUAACAAGACAGUCAGUGGAUACAAGAUUGUAAGUACAAAGCGGUAUCAGAGAUUAGCAGAUUGGGUUGUUCGGGGUUCUCUGUUAUGUCUAGAGACCUACCGGCUGGGACAAAAGGGACUUUGACAAGCAGUCGAAGGGCAUCCGUAUAGAUUUACGGUGUAUUCUUGCAGUCGUUUAUAUUUCAGCAGUCAAAAACUGAUAGACUGCUUGAUUAUUGGCGAAUCUCCAUACUACCUUCUACUGCCAGAUGCCCGGCGCGUUCUCGAACAAGAAAGCACGUAAUACGACACCGUAUCAACAACAAGCGUUAACUACGGCAGAGAUACGAAUAAUGUCAGGCCUAAAAGAUUCCAAUGAAAUCUUGUUAUUGAAUUUGACGAAGAAAAUGGAGGAAAUGGCCGUCAAUAUGGUCAAAGAUAAGGAGAAGAGGCAAAAGUCUACCAAUACUAGGACCAAUGUAUGGUGCGGUAAUUGUAAGGGCCACGGUCAUUCUGUAAAAGAAUGCUCCUUACCCUCACAAAUAAUGGAUCAAUGUACAUUUUAUCAAGGAAAGCACCUAACAGCAAAUUGUUGGAAUUGGUAAAGACAACAACAAUAAUUUAGUAAUCAGACCAUGUUCCCACCAACCCAGUGAGACAUCAAUCAAGUGCAAAUAUGAAAUACGUUUGGAUGGAAUGGAAAUCGAUUCAAUCGACAAAAUCGAGCAUUCAAUAACUUUCAAAGUUCCAAUUUAAAUCAAGGGUCUGUAUCGAACCCCCAGAACUAUGGUAAGAAGCAGUAGAUGUAUCAGCAAUAUGCUCCACCGACGUCAUUAAACCAAGUUCUCUUAGUACCAACGGUGUUGGGAUAGAGAGGUUUUGCCUCAAAAAAGCGCUGGGCUUCUGGCUGUCACUAAUUGCUCAAUCAAGCUUAAAAUAAGGAAACCCUAAUUCUAUACAUAUAAGUUCUCUUUUUGGGACAAUUACACCAAAUACUUAAGUCUUAAAUAACCAACAACACCCAAAAUAUGGUAGAAGUACUCUAAAACCUUGUAUAUCCUUGAGUAGAAAUUCUCCCGAAACUCAACACCUCAUAACUCUUGAUCCAACCGUCCAAACAAGAUCAAAAUUUACAUGAAGUACUGAUAUGUUGUUAUUAAUUUGUACAACAAAUUUCAACCGCAAAUUCGUCGCGGAUCUUGAGAUGUCUUCAAAACCCUAAUAGUCGCUUCAAACCCUAAUCUUUAUAUACCCGCGCGCAAUUUUCUUCAUAUCUCACAAACCAUAAGUCCAAAUGCCACGAAACUUAUAUAGAUAGCUUUUUAACACAAAUUUUUACAUUCUCGCAAAGUUUGAGUUAAAAUUUCGUUCGAAAACUCAAGUUAUGGCUCCUAACACUACUUUGAACAAAACCGUUCACUUACUGCCAUUGAUUUGAAUGCACUGUCUUUAACUCCCUAUAACUCCUUUAUAAAAACUCCAAAUGCAAAAUUUCCUUCGCAAAAGAUGUAUGUCUUGAAGUUGCCCUUCCAGCCGCACCUUCCGAUCUCCAAAAGCUUCCGUAAGACUCCUCUUAAACUCAAAAGAGUAACAGUAGGUCUCAAAUUGACACCUUAACUUCAAACGGCUAUAACUUAUUCACCCUAACUCCAAACCCUAUAAAAUUUGCACAAAAAUUGUAUCCAGAACCCUAAAAUUUACAAUCCUUGCCUCUGAUUUCCUAAUGGCUUCUUUGAAGUCGCCGAAACCCUUAUCCAGGUCGUGGGUAGCCUCCUAAAAGCCCAUUGGGCAUGGAUUUCGACUAAUGGGGAUGAAGAUCCUUAUUUCUACCUUCAUCCAACCAUGCCUUGGUUUCAUCCCUCCCAAUUAACCUCCUAUUAGUUUAAAUCUUCAUCUUUAGGCCCCUAUCUUCUCUCAAGGCUUCAUACUUAACAUUAAGGUUCUAUAACUUUUAUAUACUAUAAUCAAACUAAAUAAGGAAAACAAAAUAAAGUUUUUUUUUUUUUUUUUUUUACCAACUCUUUUUAAUUUAAUCUAUUAAUCACUUUAACACACAUUUAGAUUUAUUAACAUAUAAUAUGUUUUAAUUAAUUUUUAUAUACUGUAAGCAUUUACAGUACGACAACGGGACGACCAAGAUCAUUUUCUAACCCUACAUGGAACAAGCCUAGUAGAUAUAUACCGAUGGAGGCACCCAAUAUGCCUAAUGGUGGUGGAAGAAGACCACUUCGUUGUUUCCAUUGCAGAUAGAUUGGUCAUUAUGCCAAUGAAUGUCCUAAUCCAAGGGCCAGUGAUGACUUUGCUCCAAUAUGUAGAAAUUAUAAGCAGUCUGGUCACACUUAUCAAUAGUGUAAUGCGCCCUUUAAUUAUAAUAACCGAGACUAGCAAAUGCAAACAAGCCAACCGGCGGAAGACAAAAGCCUUGUUCAACGAGACACCAGUACAUCAUAUCGAGGUGGUGAACGCAGUGCUUAUCAAAAGCCAACAAAAACAAAAGAAUCCAAUUCAAGACAUAGAUGAACAAAUCGCAAGAGAGCAAGUAGCGCCGUCCAUGGGACUAAAUGAACCAAUAUCAGUAUUGGAACGUAUCCCAAUAUUGAGACUUCAACAGACUAAGGAACCUAAUUUGGUUCCACGUGCCAAUUGGUCGGGACCAUCCAAUCCAGGUCAUGUUAUGGGCUUCGUACCUAGUAUGAGACCUGACUUAGUGGCACAACUCAAUGAGGUCUCAAUAACGGAGGCUUCGGUUCCGAUCCAAGCAAUUUUGAUCUCUAUGCAGUUCCAAGAAACGUCCUAUCCGUUGAAAGAUCCUCUACGGGGUGGAAAUUCCAAAGAAGCCCGACUGUUGUUCCAAUUUCAAGUUCAUGUUAGGGACAUAAUCCUUAGAACCUUCUAGAGACAAGUUUCUAGAACCUUCUAGAGACAAGUUUCUAGAACCUUCUAGAAGCAAGUCUCUGGAACCUUCUAGAAGCUUCCUAGUUGAUAGAAGUUGGUUGAGAAGCUUCCUAAAUAGGAGUAUAUAUUAGAAUCGAGGCUGAAGAGUUCUUCAGUCUCGACAACACAUCUCUUGGAGCUCUAGCUCAUCUCUCUGGUGUUGUUCUCAUCUGAUUAAUUUAGUUCUUGUCAGUUCUUUUUAAACUUCUUGUUAGUUCUCGAGUCUGUAUUUCUGUGUCCAUGAUAGUUUGUCGAGACUACACUCACCUCAGAUAUCAGAGCUAGUUUUUCUUUAUUAGAGUGUGGAUUACCCCUCUGUUUGGAAGUGUACUAGCAUUUUAGAGGUUGCGGAUUACCCUCCUCUAAAUUGAUACUUCUUUUGUUAGAAUAUUGGAGUCUUAUUCUUCUUGGAAAGAGUGGAUUACUCUUUCUCUUGAAGCUCUUAAGGCAUUUUUGAGGUUGCGGAGUACCGUCCUCUAAACCAAUAUUAUCUUCUUGUAGAGUCAUUUUUGUCCUUCUCUUAGAAUGGCCGAGGGCCAAGACAUUAGUAUGACGGAAAGUUCGGAGUUCAAGUUAGAUGCUAUCAUGAAUGCCCUCUCUACGUCAUCGCAAAGAACUGCAGAGAUUGAAGGAGUCGUGGCAAGGCUUCAUAAUGAUGGAGCAUUUGGGAUGGUACAAUCUAAGUUGCACCAGCCUCAAACUACUGCACUUGGAGAAGCAACUUUGCCUCAGGUUCGACAAGCACCACUGAUUCUACAACAUAAAGAGUCCUGAGUUAGCCUUCCGGACAAGUUCGAUGGUAUGCAUUCUAAGUUUCGAAGAUUUGUCAAUCAAAUCAGGUUGAUAACAGUUUUAGAGUCCGAGCGCUAUCCAACGGAAGAGUCACGUGUUGGGCUUGUUGGAACCUUAUUUACAGAACAAGCUCUAUCAUGGUUUGCUCCUUUGAUUGAGAAAGGAUCGUCCAUACUAAACAACUUUGAAAUCUUUUUGGAGGCAUUUGCGGAAGCAUUUGGUGAACACGACAAGGUUCGAUGGGGUAUAACAAAGAUCCGGUCACUAUGACAAGGGAUGCGCUCUACAUCAGUCUAUGCAUCGGACUUCAAGCAAUUAACAUGCGACAUCAAUUGGGACGAAGAAGCGUUGAUGAGUCAAUUCUAUUGGGAUUUAAGGGACGAUGUGAAGGAUUUGCUGUUAACUCUUCCUGAUCCACAAACGCUCAACAAAGCUAUUAGCUAAGCUGUGAAGUGCGAUAACUGCCUAUUCUAACGCUGCCAAGACUAAUGUUUAAGACAACAUACGGUUCGCCACACCCCAACUAUGUCAGCAAGCAAUGUGAAUUCACAUUCAGAGGUAGAAGACAUAUAAAUUGGUGCGGUACGUGUCAAAUUUCUUACUCCAGAAGAAAAAAAGCGACGUAUGGAGGAAGAUCUAUACUUGUAUUGUGGUGAAGAAGGCCACAAAGUUGGAAACUGUCCCAAGAAGCAAAAUCGACGUAUUGUCAAGACUAGAGGUGUGUUUACUAAAGAAAAUGAGGAUGCCUAGCCACAAUAAGAACCGUGCAGCUGGGCAGUAAAAUAUUGCAACAACAACCAGGUUCUUUUCUUUCCGCUCAACCUGCCCUUUGUUUUAGAAUCCUUUUGUUUAUUGGCCCUCAGAAACUAAGAACUUUAACAUUAUUAGAUUCAAGAGCAUCUGCUUAUUUUUUAGAUGAAGAAUUUGCAAAGCAUCAUAAGAUCCCUUUAGUAUAAAAAUCCAAACCUGUUCACGUUGAGGUCAUAGAUGGGCGACCUUUAUUGUCUGGUAGUAUCACCCAUGAAUCAGAACCUAUUGAAGUGACGUUUAAGGGCCAUAGUAGUCAUAUUAUUUUCAAUAUUAUUAGAAUUCCAUCAAAUCCUAUUAUUCUUGGUCUUUCCUGGUUGAAAAAGCAUAACUCAUCCAUAGAUUGGAAGUUGUAUAAGAUGACCUUUCCCACAAAACCACCUAAAAGCAAGUCUAGUAAAAAACCCCGAAUAGAGAAAUCCUUAUUUAUUGAAGCAAGAGCAUUUAUAAGAUCAUCCAAGAAAGGCACACCAUUUGUCAUUUAUGCGGCUCCAACUACUGGGGUGAAGAUCUCGACAACAAGUAUACCGGAGCAAUAUAAGGAUUUUAAAGACAUGUUUCAAAAGAAAAAUGCCAACAUGCUACCAGAACACAGACCAUAUGAUUGCGCCAUAGACUUAUAGGAAGUAGCACAACUACCUUUUGGCCCAAUUUACAAUCUAUCGCAGAUAGAAUUGGUGGAGUUACGGAAGUACAUUGACAAGAAUCUAGCCAAGAACUUCAUCCGUCAUUCAAAAUCGUUGGCUGGAGUAUCCAUCUUAUUUGUGAAGAAGAAAGAUGGCUCAUUACAGAUGUGCCUGGCGCACUUUGUUCCUUACAAGAAGACAUUAUCCAGUGAAGUCACAGCAAGGCUCUUUCUUGAUAAUGUGUAUCGAUAUCAUGGACUACCAGAUGAUAUCGUAUGAGAUCGAGGAACCCAGUUCAUAUCAAAGUUUUGGAGAUCUCUCUUUGAGAUACUGAAGGUGGAUAUCAAGCUUUCUUCGGCUUUUCAUCGUCAAACUGACGGCCAAAUGGAACGGGUGAAUUAAGUCUUGGAACAAUACUUACGAUGCAGCAUCAACUAUCAGCAAGACGAUUGGACCACAUAUCUGCUGCUAGCCGAGUUUGCAUAUAACAACACCUUCCAUGCGUCGACUCAAUACAUACCAUUCUUUUUCAACUAUGGGUAUCAUCUAAAGCUUGAUUUAUUGAGUCUGUCAACAAAUAACAAUCCAACAGCUGAAGGAUUUGUAAAACAACUAUCAGAGCUUCAAAAUAUGUUGAAGCUUCAAUUACAAUCCGCUCAAGAAUCCUACAAGGCGUUUGCAGAUAGAUUUUGAAAUCAAGCACCUACUUUCAAAAUUGGAGAUAAAGCAUGGCUUCUUCGAUGGAAUAUCAAGACCAAGCAACCAUGUGAUAAGUUGGACUAUCGAAGAUUGGGACCAUUUAUCAUCCAGAAGCAAAUCAAUCCAGUGGCGUAUCGUCUGGAAUUACCGGCUUCUAUGAAGGUACAUCUCGUCUUUCAUGUUUCUUUGUUAGAGCCUUAUCGAGAGUCAACUUUUCCUGGAAGAUUGCAAUGUCCGCCACCUAGUAUUGAGAUUGAGAACCAUAAAAAAUACGAGGGUGAAAAGGUACUGGAUUCACGACGAAGGUGGGGCAAGUUGGAGUAUCUUGUUCAUUGGUGCGGCUACGACAUUAAUGAGCGAACAUGGAAGCCAACUAAAAAUCUCGCCAAUGCGCCACAAAAGGUACAGGAGUUUCAUCAACAACAUCCUCAUAAACCUAAGCCGGUUUGACGAUAGCUUCCUUUUGAAGCUUGCUCAUCCACGAAUAUAAGAAAGGGAGAGAGCACUACCAAAAUUUGUAGUUGAUGUAGUUAUUUUUUCCAAGAUAAAAUAGAAUUUUUUCAAUAGCCAUAGUUUGGUCUUCUGAUAUGGAUAGCCAAGAGAUAGAUACUAUGCUAGUCAGAUUAUCUCAACUGACUAGCUCACAAAGGCGACCCCAAGAUAAAGAACUGCCUACACCAUGACGACGACGGAGGAUACCGAGUAACCAAUUAUUGGUGAUUUUAUUUGAGUCCAAGCCUGCUUACGAUGGUCAGCCAAAAGGCGUGUAUGCUGGACAAUUUCAUAAUGAGGAUACGGAAGUUCAUGCUUGGUCAGAAGUUGAAGGAGUGGGCCACUACCGUGGGCUUCAAGGGUCGAUGAAUCACUUGCCUCGUGAACAACAGUUGGAGUUCAUAGCAGACGUUAUGUGACAGAUCUUCAUUUUCUUACGUUGGUACUGAUUAACAACAACAUUGCUUCUCAAAGACCUCGAAGCUAAAAGAGGGAGUGAUAUUAAGGACAUAAUCUUUAGAAUCUUCUAGAGAGAAGUUUCUAGAACCUUCUACAAACAAGUUUCUAGAACCUUCUAGAAGCAAGUCUCUGGAACCUUCUAGAAGCUUCUUAGUUGGCAAAAGAUAUUAGAGACAUAGUCCUUAGAACCUUCUAGAUAUAAGUUUCUAGAACCUUCUAGAAACAAGUCUCUGGAACCUUCUAGAAGCUUCCUAGUUGGUAGAAGUUACUUGAGAAGCUUCCUAAAUAGAAGUAUAUAUUGGAAUCGAGGCUGAAGAGUUCUUCAGUCUCGACAAUACAUCUCUUGGAGCUCUAGCUCACCUCUCUGGUGUUGUUCUCAUCUAAUUAAUCUAGUUCUUGCUAAUUCUUUUUAAACUUCUUGUUAGAUCUUGAGUCUAUAUUUUUGUAUCAUUGACAGUCUAGGGCGAAAGACUAUCUUACAUCACGGAGUAAAAUCAAAAGCAAUGAAAUGCAAAAGAACAUUGGAAAUUACUCUCAAUAUGGAAUCCUACGAUAUUCUGAAGGAUUUGGAUGUUAUUCAGCCUUGAAUUACAAUGAAGCAACUUUUGGCUGUAGCAUUGGAAUGUUGAUCUAUAUUCAAUUCAGUGCUAAUACGAUGAAGAUCCCGUACUAAAGAAAUUCAUGAAGUUAACUUAAACCCAGAUCCGAGAGCACCAACAAUCGAUGUAUCAAUCGAUGGCAUUUUAAUUCCAAGGAUACAAGUCGAUGGUGGUUCCAGUGUGAAUUUAAUGAACGCGGAUACAAUGGAGGAUUUGGAUCUAAUGCAAUUGCUAUCUACGACAUUGAUCUUGUAUUUGGCAGAUCAUAGUCGGAUAAAGCCAAUGGAAAUCUUAUGAAAUAUUGCCACUGUAAUCGUGGGAUUGACAUACAAAAUCGAUUAUAUUAUAUUUUGAUUAUUGAGUUCUAUGUUAUUGUAUCCUACUUUAUUGAGCAAACCUUGGCUUUAUCAAGCCAAAGCUAAGAACAAUUGGAGCUGUGGCACAUUGACAAUUCGAAAAGGCUGGGAUUUGAUUAUUAUAUAUUAUUAAAAUUGGAUGCUCAAGUCCGUGUACUACGUGAAUAUAAUGAAGAUCUCUCAAACCAAUUGAGGAAAGAAUCGAUUGACUCACGGAAGAAGAAGAAGAUUUGUAAUUGGAACCGGAAUCAGUAGAACCAAUAACAGAUACUGCGGAAAUUGAUUAAUUAAAUAGGCUAGAGGGAUCGCAAGUUUUGUGGAGAUUUGUAAGAUAAUUUUUAAAUAGGUAUCAAAUGAAUGUUUGCGAGGACGCUGCACAGAUAGGAGUGGAGCUAUACAAAAUAGAUAUUAAUUCAUUUUUGAAAAAUAUUAAUAAAAUAUAUUAAUAGUCCACAUAAUAGGAAAUAUAGGAGGAUGGAUGAGUGAUUUAAUUCUUAAAAGUAGUUAAUUAUAGAAUUACGGUGUCGUAUUACGUGCUUUCCUGCUCGAGAACGUGUUAGAUAUCUAGCUAUAGAAGGUAGUAUAGAGAUUCGCUAAUAUUCAAGCAGUCUAUCGGUUUUUGACUUUGGAAUAUAAACAACUACGAAAAUAUACUGUAAAUCCAUAUGGAUGUCGUUUGAUUGCUCGUUGAAGUCCUUUUUGUCCCAGCCGGUAGGUCUCUAGACAUUACAGAGAACCCCGAACAACCCAAACUGCUAAUCUUUGAUACCGCUUUAUACUCACGAUCUUGUAUCCACUGACUGUCUCAUUAGAUUAAUCCAAUAAAUUUCAUUCACUCCGCACACUCAAUCCUAUAGACACCUUUUUAAUUCUUCAAUCAUAGACGUAACUUCGAUUUCACAAAACAUUCAAGAGUAAUCACACCCACUUCAUUAAAAAUCCCGAUUCACCAAUACAAUACCGACUUUAGCAACGAUUGCCUUAGACUUCACAAAACCCUACGAAGAAAAAAAACCUCAAUUUUCUAUCUUUUUUCUCCUCCCAAAGCAUGAAGCUAGCUCUCCGACCCUUCUAAAAAAAUCUUAUUCUCUCUCCCUUCAUUUCUUAAUCUAUCCUCUCUUUUAACCCUAAUUCUCUCCUUUUUCAAAUCCUAGCCUCUAAAUUUCUUCAAUCUUUCGUCUUGGAUCCGGAAUUGGCUCCCGCCGUCAACGCUUUCUCUGACCAAUUCAGGUCUCAUAUUGGCUAAGAGGCCCAUAAUAAGAUUUGGAUUGGAUGUCUUGAAAUUGGAUCCAAUUGGCUCUUCGAACCAGGUUCACCUGUCAUUGAGUUGGUCCUUUCUCUUUCAGCUCACUCUUGUUAUUGGAAUCGAACGGAGCAUUUCAGUAUGCCCCAACUGACUGUAACGGGGUGACUGACCCUGGCCUCUCAGUAUUUGCACUGGAAUUGGUCAUUGCUCCCAAUAUUCGAGGUAACUAAACAUUAAUAAAAGUCCUCUUUCUUUAUAUUUUCACGGUAUACUCGUGUUAUAACACAACAACGAUUAAAAUCUUGAGAAUCAAGGAAAAGUAUAUAGGAGUUGUAGAGGUUAAUUAAGGUGCCAGACUGUGAUAGUCAUGAGCCGAGGGCCAUCGCUGUGAUAGUGUGAGCCGGGGUAAGCUUGGUGCUACCUCUUUUCUUUUGUUUGUUAUUUUCUUUGAAUAAGAAGAUUGAGAGUUUUUGAAUAUUGUGAAGUGAAUUAUGGAAUGGAAAUAAGAUUGGUAUUAUUUGAGAAGAAGAAAGAUUGAAUGCUGAAAUCUGAUUGUAGUUUAGUAGAUAGAAUGAGUCUGUGUUUAUGUGAAAUACUGUAAUGUGAAUGGCAGUUCUGUGUGAAGAAUUCCAGUGAUUGGAAUGAAGGUAAUUGUGUGCUCAAAGCUGUGAAGGUGCAAUAUUACAGUUGAAGAUUAUGAAGGUGAAUAUAUUGGUGGAAAUAGCAGUUAUUGAUAUGACUGCAUUGUUGUAAGGAAGAGACCGAUAAGGUGAAGGAGGAGAUUAUAGUUUCCUUGUGUAUUCAGAUAUUGGAAAUAGAGAUGAUACAUUCAGAAGGUAAUUGAUUGUGUGACCCUAAUGUGAACGCUUAAGCAACUAGUCAUUUUCUGUAUUCGAAUCCUUCUAUACAAGUUUAUUCUUGGAGUUUUUUUUCGAAAUAAGUAAAAUAAGCAAUCACAAGGUGUCUCAGUACAAAGAUUUAAUUAUGGAAUUUAGAAAUGUCUUUACAUGGUCUUAUUUAGAUCUAAGAGGGAUUCUAGCAUACAUUGUGGAACAUCACAUUCCUUUACUUCCUAGUACUAUUUCCAUUAGACAAAAAGAACGCAUGAUGAAUCCAAAAUUGUAACAUAUAGUAAAAGUAGAAUUGGAGCGACUUUUCAAGUUGGAUUCAUUAAACCAGUAGAAAUCACAAGUUGGAUGUCUCCAAUGGUAUUGAUAAAGAAGAAAAAUGGAAAAUUCCAUAUAUGCAUUGAUUAUAGAGCCUUGAACAAGUAUACUUGUAAAGAUCACUUCCCUCUUCCAUUCAUGAAUACCAUUCUAGAUGAAGUGGCUAGACACGAGCUCUAUACUUUUAUGGAUGGUUACUCAAGCUAUAAUCAAAUUUCAAUAGCACCAAAAGACUAUCAUAAAAUAGCCUUUAUCACUCUAUGAGGAACAUUCAUUUAUGUAGUCAUGCCUUUUAGUCUUUGCAAUGCACCAUCUGCAUUUCAACGAGCAAUGACAUAUGCAUUCUCGGACCUCUUAUACAAGUCAAUGAUGGUUUUUAUUGAUGACUUUAGUAUUCAAUUUAAGGCUAUAGACCACUUAAGUUGGGUAAAAGAGGCAUUAACUCGAUGUCAUCAAAUUGGUAUAGCCAUUAAUCCUGAAAAAUUUUAUUUGGUAGUACGACAAGAUGCAUUGCUUGGUUAUAUUGUAUCUCAAGCAAGGAAAGAACCAAACACUGAGAAGGUUAAAGUGAUAGUAAAAUUACAUCCACCAAAAGAUGUGAAUGGAGUACGGAAGGUUUAAGGUCAUAUAGGUUGAUAAAGAGAUACCAUGAACGACUAUGCAACUUCAAUAGCCUCCAUCACUAACCUAAUGAAGAAGGGGACUAAAUUCUAAUAGAGAGAGGAGUGUCAAAGAGGAUUUGAUGAGUUGAAGGAUAAACUCACUAGUUUUUCAGUUCUAAGACCUUCAGAUUGGUCCAAACCAUUUCAUAUAUACUAUGAUGCUUGAGUAGUAGCAUUAGGAAGCGCAUUAUGUCAACCAACUAAUGGAAGCAAGGUAUACUAUCCUAUAGCAUUUGCCAGUAGGUAAUUAUCAGCAGCAGAGAGAAAUUACACUACUACAGAACGAGAAUGUUUGACAAUGGUAUUUUCGACAAAGAAAUUUCGACAUUACUUGUUAAUGAAUCGUGUAGUCUUUUUUGUAGACCACAUGGCUAUCAAAUAUUUGGUGAAUAAGCUAGACUUAAAUGCAAGACUUGCAUGAUGGGUACUACUGCUGGCAGAGUUAGAUUAUACAGUUCAUUACAAGCCAGGAAAGAUGCAUCUCCAAGCAGAUCAUUUGUCAAGAAUUUCUAAUAAAUUGAGAAUGAAGGAUGUAGAUGAUGAGUUUUCAGAUAGUAAAUUAUUCAUGAUAAAGGCCAUUCCUACAUGAUACAAUCACUUGACAAAAUUUUUAUCAUCUCAAACUUAUCCUAAAAGAUUAGACAAAGAAGAGAGGCGAAAGAUUAGGGUGAACAGUACACAUUUCAUUUUAUUAGGUGGAAAGCUCUACAGGAGGGGCAUUGAUGGAAUUCUAAGAAGAUGAAUGAUAUAUGAAGAAGUCCCUAUUAUCCUAGAAGCUUGCCAUGAUAGUGCUUGUGGUGGUCAUUUUUCAGGAAGACUCACCUCACAAAAAAUCUUAAAAGCAGGGUAUUUCUAGCCCACUCUCUUUACAGAUGCAGAGGCCCACGCUCGAUGUUGUGAUACAUGCCAUGGAUAUACACGUAAUGAUCUACACAUGCAAUAGCCUUUGCAUCCACUACUGCCAUUAGCACCUUUAGAACAAUGAAGAAUUGACUAUGUUGGACCUAUAGUAUCCACUUCUUCAAAGAGAAACCAAUUUAUUAUAGUGGCCAUAGAAUACUUGACCAAAUGGGCUGAAGCCAAGGGAGUGAAGUGUUUAGAUAGUAAACAAACUAUAAUUUUUUUAUAUGAAAAUAUCAUUGCAAGAUUUGGAAGCCCAAAAAUCUUAAUAAGUGAUAAAGGAACUCAUUUCCUCAAUGAGAAUGUCAAAGAAAUCACAUCUAUCUUUACCAUCUAACAUCGAAAAACUACACCUUAUCACCCUCAAACCAGUGGAAGAGCAAAAUGAAUGAAUCAAACGUUAGUAAGGAUUUUACACAAAACUGUAGUAGACAACAAGAAGGAUUGGGAUGUGAAGCUCACAGCAGCUCUUUGAGCAUAUAGAUUCACAUAUAAGGUAACUACAAGUACUACACCAUUUGCAUUGAUGUAUGGAAUAGAAGCCAUUUUACUCAUUGAGCUUGAAAUACCUUCAUUACGGAUUGCAAAAAAGGAAAGGUUGGACUGGUCGAGAUCAGUGAAAGAUAAGAUGGAACAAUUAGAAGCUUUGCAUGAGUUUAGAAAAAUGGCAAUCCAAAAUAUUGAGGCCAUUCAAUGCCAAAGAAAGGUAACUUUUGAUAAAAAGAUUAAAAAGAGGGCAUUGGAGCCUGGUAUGUGAGUCAUACUUCAAGAUGCACAAAAAAUGGAAUUCUCAAGAAAAUUUGAUGCUGUAUGGAUUCGCCCUUAUAUUGUGGUGGAUGUCUCCACCAACAACUCUAUACAAUUGAAGACCUUAGAUGGCUCAUUAUUUCCUACACAAACAAUAGGAGAACGGUCUAAAGAAUACAAAGUGUGACAAUAGGAACAAAAUUCUUUUAUGGAUUAUAUUUUUUUAAUAUCAAAUAGUAUGUUGGAGAGAAAAAUAGAAGCUAUAAAAGAUCAAUAUUAAUCAACCCUCAAAGACGGUUGAUUGGGGAUUUAUUAGCAACCACAAAGGUGAAAUACUAGCUAAGUGCCUCUUUUUAUAAUAUUCUUAUUAUAUCUCAAAUUUUUCUUCUUCUCUUAUUCUUUUUUUAUUUCUUUAUAGUUCCAAGAGAGGAUGUUAAUAUUAUGAAGUUAAGCAAGAUAGUAUGAUUUAUAGGGCAUUCACAUAUUUAUUAAAAAUACAUAAAAUUAAAAUAUAAUAUGAAUAUUCUUCCAUGUGUUAGGCCCAAGAUAUAGUGUAGACGGCAUUGAGUGAGUAAUUUUCAUCUUUUGCUCUUAUUAUUCAAUCUUAUUUCACUUUCUUAACUUGUAUUAGAUGAUUUACAUAGAUUAGGUCCAAAUUGCUAAGAAAAAGACAUUGCUUCUCAUGUAGUAAUUAACAACUUCUUAUUUUAUUAUUCUUCUUCCGUUUUCACUUCUUUUUUUUUAAUCCAAAUCCACUUUGAUGGAGGAGGGAGGCCAAUUGAAUUAAUUUAUUAUUUAUAGGUUAGAAUUUGCUCUAAGAAGGGAGGAUAUGGUUAUUUUUAUUUUCAACUUUUUAACUUCUAAUUAUUUUUCUAUAGUACUCCAAAUUGACAUUAUUUGAGGAAGAAGGAUGAGUUCCAAUAUUUUAAUUUAUAAUAUUAAUAAAUGGAUAUUAGAGUUGAGAGGAUUUGAUAUCGGAUUUUAUAUUAUGAUUUUAUUAUUUUUAAGAACCUUAUUCUUCGAAUUUCAAUUGACCAUGUGCCCUUGGAAAAGACACUACCUUCACUUGUAAGAGACUCAAGGGUCCAUUCUAUUUGCAUGGCAAAUAGCCCACAGAUGGUGCACCACAUGUUAGCUCUCAAUUAUACUCUAAAAUUUAAAUUUUUAUUAUUUUCCUAUUUUAUAAUAAUUAAACAUGUUAGAUUAGGAUUUAUAUAAGUAGAAUUCAAUUUUAUAGAAUUUUUAGGAUUACAAUCCCUCAUGAUAUAAAUCAUAGCCUAAUUUUUUGAAUUAGAUUAAUUAGGACUAAAGUGACAAGAGUUAGAAAAUUAGAAUAGCAACUUAGUUAGUUUAAUAAUUUAAAGGUUGUUGGUCAUUACUAUAAGGGUUGACUAAAAGCCAAUGAGUUCGUCUAUAAUAAUUCACAUGAUUUAGGGGUUGGAAUUAUAAUUCUCUAAAAGAUUUAGGAAAGUUAGCAAUGGUAAUUUUGGAUUUUUCCUCCAAAUUCGGCAAAUUUAAGCGGCAUGGUGGUUCUUCUACUUAAUGGGAGUCUCUUUAAUGCAAUGGUGGCACCGGAUUUACUUCGUGGAGUGAAGAAAACAAGGUCAGCAACCUCUCCUUCUAAAUACAAGAGAAGCAAUGAAAUUCUCAUUUUGAAGAAUUUCACAAAAAAAUUGCCAAGAUCCUUAUAAGUAAAAACUUCCAUGGAAAUUAUAAUUGAGCAUGGAUUGGGGCAUAAGAGUAGUCGAUCUUAGCUUAAAAAGGUGUUUUGAACACAAUAGUGAAGUUAGAUUUGCAAAAAAAAUGCCUUCUUAACUACUUACAAGGGCUAUCAGCCUUGGUAACGAGAUUUGGUCUUGGAUGAAUGAAGGCCAUAGAUCUAGAUUAGGAAUCUGAAAAAUCAAGGGUGGAGAUGUAGCCACCCUUCUACGAGCCUCCACUCAAUUGUAUAAGAGAGGCUUGGUUUUCCAAGCCCUCUCUCUCUUCUCUUUUGGUGAAGGAUGAAGCCAUGCUAAAAUUUGGCCAAAAAUCCUAAUUUUAAUUUCAUUUAGAUUUUAAAUCUCAUUAUGAAUUUUAUGGGUGGAUGUGGAUGGAUUUCGAGUUGCGAAUGAUAGUCAUUGGGUCUUAAAACACGUUUCAUUGUGGUGAAUAGCUCCUUUGGCCUCUCAAUUACUCCAAGGAUUUCAAGAGCCUCAGAUUUCCCUCCAUCAGUCAUUCAAUUAUUUUAGUUCUAAUGUGAUUUUUUUUGUGGUUUUAGCUUUUGUUGUUAGCUUUUUGACAAAGAAGUCUCGCUCCAUUCAGAGUUGAAUUAAAUUUUUGGUGAAAUUUUGAGUGUGAGGGGGUUGACAACCUUCGCAGUUUGGAUUAAUCGAGUUUAGGAAGACAUUUAUCAGUGCUUGAUUGCUGGAUUCAUUUGAAAUUUCGGAAGCAUCAAGAUUUAUAAGCUAAGCUUUGAAGGGCAUAAGUUUCGCUGGAUUUGAAGAUAAUUUGAAUUUUUAGCAAAUUUCUAAGUGAAGGGGGUUGGUCGCCGCGGUAGUUUGGAUCACUCAACUUCAAAGGAGCAAUUUUCACGACUGGAUCUAUAGAUUGCAAUGAGAUUUGUUGCAGCAAGGGUGUUGUAUUAUAACUUAUUCUAUUUUUAUUUUUAUUUACUUAUUUUAAUACUCUUACUUUUCUAUUGGUCAAAGGCUUUCAAUCCUAAUUCUUUUAUUAACAUGCAAUGCCUAUCCUUUACUAAUGUCUUUGUCAACAAAUCAACAAGUAUGUCUUUUGUUGCAUAAUACUUUAUAUUAAUCACUCUCAUUUCAAUCUUCUCACUUAUGAAGUAAUGUUAAAUGACAAUGUACUUGGUCUUUGAUGAUGCUUUGGAUUCUUUGUAAGCGCAAAACAUCCUUGAUUGUCACAUUCUAUUGUUGUUUCUAUUUGUACUACUCCAAUGCCCUCCAAAAGUUGUCUAAGCCAUAUUAUCUCCAUUGUAUCAUAAUUUACUACUAUGUAUUCUACCUCCAUUAUUGAUCUUGCAAUUGUUGCUUGUUUCUUGCAAUUUCAUAAAACUGCUUUCAUUCCAAGAAAGAAAACAUACCUCGUUAUUGACCUUCUAUCAUUUGCAACUCUAAUCCAAUCCGCAUUACAAUAACUAUGCAAAGUAAUGUUAUUACUUUCAAGAUAUAAUUUAAAAUAUAAAAUACCUUUUAAGUAUUUCAUAAUCUUUUUAAUGGUUGCCAAAGGGAUUGCUCUAGCCUUUGAUAUGUAUUGGCUCAUAAUACUCACUACAUAUGCAAGAUCCACCCUUGUGCCAACCAUUGCAUACAUAAGUGAGUCUAUUGCUAUCUAAUAUGGAAUAUCUAACAUUUGACCUUCAACUUUAGCAAAUUCUUCAUCUAUGAGCUUCAUCAACAUCAAAUUGGCCUCCAAAGGUUUAUAUGUAGGCUUACAUUUCUUCAUGUUAAAUCGUUUCAACACAUCUUCAAUGUACUUGCUUUGGAUUAUUAUUAUCAUCUUUUUAGCAUAAUCUUUCACAAAUUCCAUUCCUAAACAAUAGUGAAGCUCUUUCAAAUCAAUCAUCUUAUACUUCUUUUUUAACUUUAUUUUCAACAAAUCUAUUAUCUUUAAGAUAUUGGUUAAGAUGAUUAAAUCAUCAACAUAAAAGUUAAAAAUUAAUAUAAAUUCAUUAGAUUGUACUGCUUCAAUAUUACAACCAUAUGAUCCCAAUCUUUCAUGUAUACUUGACAUUGAUGCUUCCGACUUUGCUAUUGGCACAGUUCUUCAAUAAGACUUUGGUAUGAGCCUUUAACAUGUGGCAUAUGAAUUGUGCAAGGUCAAAAAGAUAGAAAACAAUUUAUUUAGAGGUUUAUCUAUUUUUAUUAUAGUAUUUAUAUUAUGUAAGAUUUAUAUAUUUAGUAUAAAGCUUAAGAAAAGGUUGGAGUCUAAAGAUGAAAGUCUAAACUAUAAGGAGGCUUAUUGGAAAGGAUGAAAGCAAAGUAUGGUUAAAUGAAGGCAAAGAAAAAAGAUUUUCAUCCCUAUUAGUUGAAUGUCAUGGCCAAUGGACUUUAAGGAGGCUACUCAAGUCCUUAUUAGGGAUAAUGAUUUCUCUUCCAAGGUCAUUUGAACUUUGGAGGUUAGGAUCAGCAAGUUUAGGUUUUUGGAUAUGGAUUGGAUGCAAAUUUUGUGUGAUUUGGAGUUUUUAUGAAGGAGUUAUAGGUGUUCAAAACUAAAGUGUCAAUUUUGUACCUAUUGUCAUUCUUUGAAGCAAAACAUAUGCUUACAAAGAACAACGAAGGGCAGCGAUUAGGAUUAGAGAGAGCACUUUCUAAGCUAUACUGUUCAUAUACUGUUUGAUAAAUUCUAAGUCUAGAUGAAGGAAUUAUAAGACAUUGAAGAUAUCUUAUGUAAUUCAAAGAAAGUAAGUUAUUUUGUUGUUAGUAAUGAUUGGAGUUGUAUCAUGAGUUUCCUAAUCCCCCGCUUUUUCCAUCAUGGAACCCCCCCCCUCCCCCCACCUCCGAUGGUACUCCUUUCGUAGUCCAUGGAGCUCGUGUUGUCCGCAACUCCGAUGAUCUACACGGAGCUUACUCCGUGUACACUACUUCGAACCUUGACUGCUUGCGACAGCAUCGUGUUCACCGCCGACGGGGUUUUCAAAGUGGAUGUCCAACUUUGCCCUCUUUGAGAAGAGCUCUAAAUCCUACUUCUGAUCUCUUUAUUUGCUACACCAUUUAAAGCUUCAUUACGAGUAUUGCGGGUUGUGUUAAAAAAUUGCUGAAAUUGCUAACAUUUUUGCCUAGAAUGGUAUGGCAUUGCUAGAAGAUGCCAGGUGGUUGUACCAAGUGUGUUCACACUUUGAAUCUUAACAGGUAAUACUGUAACCUUGUCCAUAGGGAAACAGAAAAUGUGUACUCUUCUCAUAUAUAUAUGUAGAUACAUACAAACAUGUAUGUAUGUAUGUAUGUAUGUAUGUAUGUGUGUGUGAAUUGUAUGACAAACAAAUUAAACAUGUUUUCUUUAUAUGUUUUUUAAAAUGACAAUUUGCUAAAAAGCCAUUUCGUUGUUAAGGAUUUAGAGUGUGGAGCUUGAUGAUAUUUGUUUUCAAAUUGAUUUGAUGUGAUAUAGAAUGGACUCUUGAAAUAGUUAUAUAAAGAGAAACAUUUUAAGUAUAUCUGGAUUUUUACUCAAGCAAUACCAUUUUUAAACUGUUUUCCUUUUCAAAGUAGCUUAUGUAGUAAGAUUUGUUCACUUUAGAAAACAUAAAAUUAGGCGAUAACAAUGUAAAUGCACAUAGUCAAAAGAAUCGAAAUUGAACAAGAAAAAUUGUAUUAAAUUACAAGUAUCUGUAGAUGAAUCCCAUUUAAUUCGAAUUAUAUAAUGAUUUGAGUAUCAAUUACUAGAAUUUUAAGAUACAUAAAAUAUUCAAAAUAAAAUCAUCAAUAAAAAUGCCCACAACAAAAUAAACUAAUGAAUGAAUAAAAAAUCCUACCCUAAAAUUAUCAAAGGUGAACACAAAUACUAUAAAAUGAAAAAAAAAUAUAUCUAUUUACAUGUCACCCAGAGAGCUGUGUUUGAGGCGACACCCGCCCCUGAGCCCAGGCACGAGCGGGCGCCGCCUGAAAUACAGCUCCCCGAAGACGCUGUGCAAAACUGAUCUGCUUCGCAAAACUGUGAGAAGGCACUGGAACGUGCUCCGCGCCUACUACCGCUGUACACUCGUGUCUAUCUCCUCCACCACCUUCGGCCUUUUGUAGCGUUUCAGCCACAGCGACGAACAUACUACCGACACCGAUGACGCCGCCAUGGCUGCACCCGCCACCCACGGAGGCAACCGGAACCCCGUGCUUGGGAACAGCGCCCCCGCAGCUAUGGGGAUGCCCAGCACAUUGUACCCCAACGCCCACACGUAGUUCAGCCAGAUCCUGAAGAACGACUUCCGUGACAAGUCUAUCCCUGUGAUCACGUCCUCCAGAUUGCUCUUCAUCAGCACGAUGUCCGCCGCCUCGAUCGCGAUGUCCGUCCCCGCUCCUAUCGCCAUCCCCACGUCCGCUGCGACCAACGCUGGCGAAUCGUUGAUGCCGUCCCCCACCAUGGCCACCGACGUCCCUGCCGCCUGCAUCCCACAAACCUCAGCGUCAGCAUGCUUGUUCACCAAGCGUCCUCAUCACUCGCCUCUGCUUCCCCCAUUACGCAAUCCAAUCCCACCCCGGCGCUCGCGUUCCCUCCCCAGGUCAAACUCCCCCCGCAGCCCCCACGCAUGCUCGUGCACCAGGCAAACCACGAACCUGCAUUUCUUCCACGAUCCUGGCCUUGUCUUCUGGCAACGACUCUGCGUGCACGCAUGGCCUCUCGAUUCCCAACUCCCUCGCAAUCGCCACGGCUGUGCCCCAGUUGUCCCCCGUGACCAUCAUGCUGCGCACGCCCAUUGACUUGAGGAUGCUGAUUACUCUGGCUGCUUCCGGCUUCACUGGAUCCGCGAUGGACACCACCCCCACCAACUCCCUCUCGAUGGCAACCAUCACUCCCGUCCUGGCCAAAGUCUCCACAUCGCGCAAGUGCUCCUCCGCUUCUUCCGAUAUGUGGAUCCCGUGCUCCUUCAUCAGUCGCAUGUUCCCCACCAGGGUCGCCUUGCCGUCCACCACGGCGCGCACUCCCUGCCCUGGAAUGGCCUCGAAAUCACGCACCUCGUGUUGCUGCUGACCAUGGGACGAAUGCUCGCCGCUGAUCUUCCUGGAGUACGCGACGAUCGCUUUUCCCAGUGGGUGCUCGCUGUUGACCUCCGCUGCUGCGAUUGUGUCGUAGAACACGUGCAGAGGAAUGUUCGUGAGCAGCUUGGUGUGAACGACGAUGGGCUUCCCGAUUGUCAGCGUCCCGGUCUUGUCGAAAACCACCGUCUUCACCUUGUGUGCAGCCUCCAGUGCCUGACCCCCUUUGAUCAGGAUCCCCUGCGUCGCGCCCUUCCCUGUGGCAACCAUUAUUGCGGUGGGUGUGGCCAGGCCGAGGGCGCAGGGGCACGCGAUGACGAGCACUGAUAUCCCGAACUGAAGUGCCAGCUCGAACUCGUCCAUCGCAGCCGGAAUCCAUGACUUUGGGUACGAGCGUGCUUUGCCUCCAACGUACCAAGCCAGCCACGUGACGAACGCCGCGACCACCACGGCGGGGACGAAGUAAGUGGAGAUGCGAUCCGCAUACUUCUGGACCGGGGCUUUGCCCAUUUGGGCGGCUUCCACCAGCCGCACAAUUUGUGCCAAUGCGGUCUCCGCCCCUACGUGUGUGGCUCGAAUGUGUAUCACGCCGUGGUCGUUCAUGGUGCCUCCUAUCACCUUGUCCCCUAAUUUCUUCGGUACGGGGCGGGCUUCGCCUGUUAUCAUGCUCUCGUUCACGAAGGAUUGUCCCCACACCACCACACCGUCCGUGGGCACUUUCGAGCCCGGUACCACCUGCGCAAGCCAAAACGACUUUUCAUUGCAAGAACGGGCACAACUACAAUCAUGGCUGCCACGCUACCCACUAGGACCGCUUCACGGGAACGACACGCACCGCAACUCUCUAGCACAAGCUUCUACAAUGGCCCACAUACAAACCCGACUCUGUUUCCAACCGUCCGACUCUCCGAAUCGGUAUGGACAGCCGCAUCCAACAACCCCCAGCGAAAGCCCAAGCCUGAAACGUAGCACCUACAACACCAGCGCGUAGGCCUACCUUGAUGAUGUCUCGCCGCUGGAUGAGCUCGGCCCCGAUUUCCCUCUCUCCUGCCACGUCCCCCUCCUCGUCCAGAGUGAGCAGAGUCGCCUUGUCCGGAGCGAGGUCCAUCAGCUUGGCAACGGCUUCCGAGGUCUUCCCCUUGGCCAUUACUUCCAAAUACUUUCCCAGGAUGAUAAACGAAAUGAGCAUCGCGCUCGUUUCAAAAAAAUCCGUGCCCUUGAACGUAGGAGACGUAGCCGCCCGCAACACUAUGUACACAGAAUAAAAGUACGCUGCGUUCGUGCCCAUGGCAAUUAGCACGUCCAUGUUCGACGACCCUCGCCGGAGCGCCUUGUACGCUCCCACGUAGAACCUUCUCCCGAUAACGAACUGCACCGGAGUCGCAAGAAUCCACCGCAGCAAAGCUCCGAUCGACAAGCCGUUCAGCCUGCCGUGCUCCAGACCCUCCAUAAUGCCUGGUAUGUACAUAAACACCAUGGACAAAAAGAACACUGGGACCGUGAACACCAAGCUCCAAAGGAAGUACUUCUUGUGGUGCUGGAUCUCCAAGCCCCUGUCGUGACUCCCACGACCACGAGGUGCCUCCAACUUCGCUGUGAAAACUCCCGCCUGCUCGAUGGUCUCUAUGAAAGUCCUCGGCCCAGCCCUGUCGGGCUCGUACGAUACUGUGACCAUCGCAUUGCUGAAAUCCAAAUCCACCGAUGUCACGCCGGACAGAGCCACCAGCAUCUCUUUCACGAGCUGGAAGUCCGCUGCAGCCGUCACGCCUUCCAGCUGCAGACGGAUUCUGUUCGUCUCUUCACCUGCGAUCAGAAGCUCGGCCUCGUAACCCAGGUCAUCUAUGGCGGCGGCAAGCUGGACGUGAGAAAUCACUCCAGCAUCGUGCCUCACCUCGCACUCCUCCGUGGCGAGGGCUACUACGGCCUUUUGCACUCCAUCCAGCUUUUUCAGCGAAGACUCUAUGGAGUUUGAGCAAGAGGUGCACGUCAUGCCCUUGAUACGAAAACGGCUGAUGCUCCCGCUCCGUUGACCGGCAUCGUCCACAAUUGCUUCCGCCUCGAACCCCGCGUCCUCGAUCGCCUCCCGAAUGCUUUCCUCCUGGAUUCCACUUUCCCCGUGUAAGAUUCAAUGCCUUCCAAUUCCACCGCUGCCCACAUCCAUCUUACUUCUGAGCUCCUAGCUGCCACGGUCCAUCUGGCGGAUUGCUAAAUUGACCCUCUCACCACAUGCAAAGUUUUGGAGCACCCCUCACUGCACACCUUUCAAGUCGUUUCCUACAACAUUGCUACAAGCAUCUUCUUGCCGUCCGCAUUGCACCGCGUGCUGCGCGAACGAUCCCCGCUUCACCGGUCCCGACGGAAUUCUGAACAACACGGAGUGGGAGGAAUUGUACCUGUACGAAGGCGGGCCUGUACACAACUUGAGCCCGGUUCUGCAAUACUGACACCGUUGCUUCCUCGAUGCCGGGCAACCUCUUCACGGCUUUCUCGAUGGACCCCGCACACGCUGCGCACUCCAUCCCUGUAACCUGUACACCCAAUCAACACAUACAUAUGAAAUGACGACCCCGUGGAAUCAAUUGCCAAACCACACAUGUCCCAUUUGAACCAGCCCCACGCACGUUCUACCACUGGAUCAGAAAGUCGAGCGGCGCCGCUAAACGUUGCUAGCACGAUCCGCUUUCGGCCCCUGGGGUUCUCCUAUGCAACAGACCUUUGAGGAAUUCUGCUCCCAUUCAUCGCUCUCAUGUUCAAGUGCUCAUCACUGCUUUUCUCGCGAAAUCCCCGACUUAUUCCAGCGCCAAGCACUUUCACCACGACCGUUCCUACUGGAAUUUAACAGGGACUCACAACAGAGAUCUCCCCUCCUCCCAGGCCGGGCGAUAACCUGCCCAGAUAUGGCGUAAACAAGAAGGCAAGAAAAUCACUCCAAAACAACUCCACAACCACGCCACUCCGGCGUUUCAAUGCCGCUGCUAAACCCGCACUUUGUGAGGGUUGCAUUACAGACCUUCAAGUUUGCUUUGCGAAUCUCCGAGACGUCAACUUCGCCAUGCAAGGGCGACAGCGGGUACCGCGGCAUUGACGGAUACCGAGUUGAAGACGACAAACUGCGCUCCAGCAAAACAUCCUCCUUCUUCUUCUUUCUCCUCUCGCUCUCCGUCGCCGACCCCGUUCGAGGUGCAAGCACAACUUUCAUCAGCGACUGCAUCGCUCCACAACCACCUCAAUCCAGCUCUCACGCUCUUCAACUCUCUUCUGCUCCCUCUCUCUCUCCCUCUUUUACGAGCCUCUCAAGAAAUCCUCUACAACCUCUUCUACCUGCAAUCACGACCGUCCCCGCUCCGAAGCUUACCGCAAUUCUCACGCCUGCGCUCUCAAUUCCCGCCCACGCUAAUCCCAACGACACAAGGUCCUAUUCAAACAAGCGGCUGAUGCGACACCAG